ACCGUGCACCCUCUGGCUCUUCCCCAAAGUCAGAAUGACCAUGAAAGGUAAAUGUUUUGAAUCAUUCAGGACAUUGAGGCAGCCAUGACAGGACAACUAAAGACACACCUGAAAGAGGACUUCCAGAGCUACUUCAGAAAGUGGCAAGAACAAUGGGAUAAGUAUGUUUGAAACCUGGGGGAGUGUUUGAGGGUGGGUUAAUGGCAACGUUUCUUUUACUAUAAUAUAUUUUUAAUUUAAACAUUCACUGUAUUUUUCAGUUUCAUGGCACACCCAAAAGUGAAUUCCUGGAUCCUAUGGCAGCAGCAAUUUUACCUUUUCUAACCUUUCCAGGAGCCUCCAUUCUGAUUUCCAUAAUGGCUUCAGUAACCUACAUUCCCAGCAGGAGCCCACAAAGAUUCCUUUUCCUCCACACCUUCACCAAUACCUGGCAGCCCUUGCUCCCUUACUAACAGCCAUUUACCAGAGAAUGAACUAAGGCACCUCCCUAUUCAGAGGUUCUCCAGAAACAGUGAGGAGACUGCAGACCUCCGACAUCUACCUGCUGCUCAGGGGCAGUAUUUCAGCAGGAGCCUCCCAGCCAAAGUGCCAGGGUUGCUUUACAGAGCCAGACCCAACCUCAGCGGAAACCACAGGCCCGGGACACAGACACUGCCGAUUUAAGAAGUAAUUACAACAUUGAACACGGCCUUAAAUAAAAGCAAAAAUGCAGGAGACAGGAGGGAAAACAGAAGCAUACAUUGGGAACUAUGCCAUUUUCCCCAGAUGUUUUGUAAUAUUUGCAACCUGGCUGCAUCUGACAUGAGCUGAGCACCCACCCAGGAGGAGUGGGUGGCUCUGUCCUGGAAAGAGUGAGAAGAAAAAUAAAUAAAUAGAUUAAUUAAUUAAUUAAAAUUCAAAAAGCAGUGAGAAGAAAUGCCUCAAUAUCAGAGAUCAUCCAUCUGCCUGAAUGCCUUUUUGUUUAAUGCCCUUCUCCAGUGAGAACCCUCUUCUACUGGUCCUCAAGGAAUGAAUUAGUAUACUAUAUCAUGACAAGUAAUGAAAGCCCAACCCAAUAUAAACUGAUUAAACUAGAAAAUAGUUAUGUUUUGGGCUCAUGAAAGACCACCAGUAGUUCUGGCUUCAGGCACAGUUGUAUCCAGGUGCUUAACAUCACAGCAUGUAGAAUCUCUCUGCAUCUUACCUCUUGGCUUUGCCUUCCACAAAGUUGACUUCAUUUUCAGCCAGGCUCUCAGCACCUAGUAGCUAAGAUACAGUCCCAGAAACUGACAUCCCACUAGCUUAACAUUCCCACCAGAGAGAUGAUGAUGUUUGUUCCACCAUUCCAGCACAAAUCCUAGUCGGCCUUCCAUUGGUCCUUCUUGGGUCAGGUGUUGAUCUUUGAAUGGCUGUAGCCAGAGAAUUUCAGUUCUCUGAAAUUGGCCACGUCCAGGUCAGAGUUCCAGCUCUCGAGAACAGAGGGAGGAUCAGUGCCACCCAGUGGGAGGCUGACAGCUGGCAAGAGGUGAGUCCCAAAAAAGAAAAUCAAGGUUCUGACGAAAGC
Heterocephalus glaber (naked mole-rat) is the source of this 1543-nucleotide long non-coding RNA. RefSeq lists it as uncharacterized. NCBI's taxonomy places the organism in Eukaryota, Metazoa, Chordata, Mammalia, Rodentia, Bathyergidae. The record is from RefSeq and is a predicted model, not a curated record.